RNAcentral lists this ribosomal RNA (529 nucleotides) under uncultured microorganism. RNAcentral's name for it is "bacterial SSU rRNA". It matches the Rfam family "Bacterial small subunit ribosomal RNA", at positions 9 to 520 of the family's 1533-position model. The record is from RNAcentral.
GAGUUUGAUCAUGGCUCAGGAUGAACGCUGGCGGCGUGCCUAAUACAUGCAAGUCGAACGAACAGAUAAGGAGCUUGCUCCUUUGACGUUAGCGGCGGACGGGUGAGUAACACGUGGGUAACCUACCUAUAAGACUGGAAUAACUCCGGGAAACCGGGGCUAAUGCCGGAUAACAUGUUGAACCGCAUGGUUCUACAGUGAAAGACGGUCUUGCUGUCACUUAUAGAUGGACCCGCGCCGUAUUAGCUAGUUGGUGGGUAACGGCCUACCAAGGCGACGAUACGUAGCCGACCUGAGAGGGUGAUCGGCCACACUGGAACUGAGACACGGUCCAGACUCCUACGGGAGGCAGCAGUAGGGAAUCUUCCGCAAUGGGCGAAAGCCUGACGGAGCAAACGCCGCGUGAGUGAUGAAGGUCUUCGGAUCGUAAAGCUCUGUUGUUAGGGAAGAACAAAUAGUGUAAGUAACUGUGCAUAUCUUGACGGUACCUAACCAGAAAGCCACGGCUAACUACGUGCAGCAGCCGCCG